AAAAGCACAAUUCAUCGGAUUCUUGAGAUCUCGAAACCCUAACCCUAAUUCCAAGCCAAUCGAGAAGGGAGAGGAGGAAGAUUUUGGAGAUUUGGGCGAGGCGAAGCUUUCGAAUAUAUAACAAAAGAUUUAUAAGUUUCGCUUAAGCCUUUAUUAAAGUGAAAUAUAUAACAAAAUUAAAAUGGCAACUUUCAGUCAGUUUAUAUAUUAAAAAUUCCUUAUUGUGACUAAUUAAACCUAUUUCCGCUAAGAGGUAUUCA
RNAcentral lists this long non-coding RNA (260 nucleotides) under Musa acuminata (dwarf banana). RNAcentral describes it as "long non-coding RNA (MACU_LNC000025)". Lineage: Eukaryota; Viridiplantae; Streptophyta; Magnoliopsida; Zingiberales; Musaceae. The record is from RNAcentral.